RNAcentral lists this ribosomal RNA (514 nucleotides) under Bacillus sp. (in: firmicutes). RNAcentral's name for it is "bacterial SSU rRNA". It matches the Rfam family "Bacterial small subunit ribosomal RNA", at positions 75 to 573 of the family's 1533-position model. The record is from RNAcentral. Lineage: Bacteria; Bacillati; Bacillota; Bacilli; Caryophanales; Bacillaceae.
GAAGCUUGCUUCUAUGACGUUAGCGGCGGACGGGUGAGUAACACGUGGGCAACCUGCCUGUAAGACUGGGAUAACUUCGGGAAACCGAAGCUAAUACCGGAUAGGAUCUUCUCCUUCAUGGGAGAUGAUUGAAAGAUGGUUUCGGCUAUCACUUACAGAUGGGCCCGCGGUGCAUUAGCUAGUUGGUGAGGUAACGGCUCACCAAGGCAACGAUGCAUAGCCGACCUGAGAGGGUGAUCGGCCACACUGGGACUGAGACACGGCCCAGACUCCUACGGGAGGCAGCAGUAGGGAAUCUUCCGCAAUGGACGAAAGUCUGACGGAGCAACGCCGCGUGAGUGAUGAAGGCUUUCGGGUCGUAAAACUCUGUUGUUAGGGAAGAACAAGUACNAGAGUAACUGCUUGUACCUUGACGGUACCUAACCAGAAAGCCACGGCUAACUACNUGCCAGCAGCCGCGGUAAUACGUNGGUGGCAAGCGUNNUCCGGAAUUAUUGGGCGUAAAGCGCGCGCA